This 250-nucleotide ribosomal RNA is filed under the name uncultured prokaryote. RNAcentral's name for it is "partial 16S ribosomal RNA". It matches the Rfam family "Bacterial small subunit ribosomal RNA", at positions 524 to 773 of the family's 1533-position model. The record is from RNAcentral.
UACGGGGGAUGCAAGCGUUGUCCGGAAUCAUUGGGCGUAAAGAGUUCGUAGGUGGUUUGUUAAGUUUGGUGUUAAAGGCUGAGGCUCAACUUCAGUAUGGCACUGGAUACUGGCAGACUAGAAUGCGGUAGAGGUAAAGGGAAUUCCUGGUGUAGCGGUGAAAUGCGUAGAUAUCAGGAGGAACAUCGGUGGCGUAAGCGCUUUACUGGGCCGUAAUUGACACUGAGGAACGAAAGCCGGGGUAGCAAAU